Long non-coding RNA from Aedes aegypti (yellow fever mosquito), 2633 nucleotides. RefSeq lists it as uncharacterized. Lineage: Eukaryota; Metazoa; Arthropoda; Insecta; Diptera; Culicidae. The record is from RefSeq and is a predicted model, not a curated record. The transcript has 3 exons.
AACUGAGCCUGGAUAAGGAAGUUCGCGAUAGGUCUUGACGGGCGGCACAAGCUCAGUCGUAUCAAGUUUAAGAUUCUCUUUGUGUGAAGGCUUGACCAGUUACCGGAGGAGGAGGUAAGUACAUUCACCGUUACCGCCUCGGCAAGAAGCAAUAAAAAUGUGCUCAUUCUUUACGGUAAGGUGAUACGGCGCUCAAUGCUGAUCAACGAAUGGUAAAUGUCAGAUAAGAUGUGGCAAUUGAUAUGUUAAAAAAUAUAGAUGGACGAAGAUUAUAUUACUCUUGAACUUCAAGAAAGAACCAGUGCUUGAGUCUGUAAAUGUUUUAAAUUUUAUUUCAAUUUAUUUUGAAGUAAGCUUUCCAAACAAUUCAUACUUACAUAUUAUACAAUUCUAUUGUAUCAUGUUUUUAAUAAUUAAGCUAAGAAAGCUCAUAUUUAAUGGGUAAUUAGGGGUAAUCCUACUGUGUUGGCAACCUUGCUGCCAGCGCGCACCUUUCAUCAACCUUGCGCCACUUCUACAGAGACAGAUACGACCAGACACAGGUGACGAACUGACAGUUCUGAUGACAGGUAUGAAUGUUGAACAGUAAGACGAAGAACAGAUCGACAACUAAAAAAAAGACGAUAAACAUAUUUACAAAGUGCACGCUGUUAGACAGCUCAAAUUACAUAUAGAUUAGAUGAAACUAUCAAUAUUACUUAAAAUUAGAUUAACUUCUUAGUAAGGUACUUGCUGUAAAGCUGUAUCGCUAGUUCUAUUCUUAACCUUAAAUUCAUGCCCUAAAAUUGUAAAAUCACGAAUUCGACCAACGACAACACUGAACACAGACGAAGCUACGUAAGGGACUAAACGCAAGUCUUAAACUAUAUACUAUAUACAUAUGUACAGGCAACGAUUUACAUGAAAUUUGUACAAUUCUAAAUCUGUGCGCAACGCCCAAACUAAAAACAUGUACUUGAAACCUUUUUCAAUAGGAGAAUUAUAAUCGUCCGCUGAAUUACGCCCAGUUCUCGUGUUUAACUUGCGGAGAUUAGAAUCGCGGAAAUUAUCCCUCUCGUUCCGUUGGCUUAACGCCAACAUACUGCAUUGAGUCGAUCUCAUUGAGCAUUCUAAUUUGUACCAUAUAAUUGAACUUUACAACGUUCCUAUAGCAGGGCAGAUGUGUCAUAAUUUUCGCGUUUCCAUGCUUGGCAACACUUGAGUUAUAGUCUCAGCAGCAACCUUCAAUGAAGAUGUGCGUGCGUGAAAUCUGAAUCGUGAUUUUGGCCAUUAAUUUACGCCUAAUUAGCAACCGUUUUCGAACUUCCUCUAUUUAGAUCGCUUAUUUUACACCUUCGCCCUGGCUUGCUGAUUUGUCUAGCCUUAUGGAGUUUAUUAGCACCAUUCAUCAAACAUGCAAUCUUUGUUUGAUAAAAUCACAAUCCAACAAUUUACCAAGUAGCAUAACAAUUCUUCAACUCGAUUUGAAUUAUGACUUACUAAUAUCAGUUUAUGUGUCUUCAAAUAUGUUUUAUCCUAAAAAAUCGAAACAUUCUUGAAUCAGUCUACCCCGAAUAUCAACGUUGAGAAUUUCAGAUACCCAUUAGAUACGAUUACAUCAAUUAGAAGCACGCAUAAGUUAUUCUAUAGAGAUGUGUAAGUCCAGAAGCUACACGUUGUUGCUAUGGCUUUAUCGAUAUGCAUAAUUUCAUCGCAACAUAUAGGAAAACGCAUCCAACUCCGUUCCGAAACCGGGGUCAACGUCUGAUCGUAAACUUGUGGGGUGAUGCUACUAUCAUGACACUGAAUGGGUGUUUGUUUAUGGAUGAAGACUCCCCAUGCCGUCCAAACCAGUUUACACCGCAGAUUUUGUAGGUCAUUCUUAGAAUUCCACGCUCUGUUUCAUAUACGUUCUCUAACGUUGUCACGAUACGUCAGGUAUCCAUCCAGUAUAGUAAUUUGUUUGUCAUUGUAGAACCCACGUCACGGGGUGAGUUAUCUGGUGACGUUGAAUAAAUUUGCGUUGAAUUGCGUGAGAUAUUGCAAAAAGAUUAUACGUUUAGAAGCGUACGCGAAUGAGGUUAGGUUAAAAACUGGUUUUACUUCAGGAUAGAUUGUGAUAAAUAAUUGGGAUUUUUAUCAACGUGCAUCAGUUAAUAGUAUACAUUGAAUGGAAAUUGACAUUAUCAUAAUAUUCAUUGCCAAUUGUAGUCCCAAAGAGAGUUACGUGACGAUUUCAGUGGAAAUUUUUCAUUUCAUAUUCUACUUAGAAACGAGGAUGAGGUUAAGUGUGUAGUGAGCACUGCGCUCCACAUGAAUUCAACCGGUUUGCUCACGGAGCGUAGGUCAGUUUCUGGUCGUCUUUCGAUUGAAUUUAUAAAAGGACUGGCUAUGCGACGCCCGUUGAUGGAUAUAGCACACACAAAGUGAUAGUGAUUUAACGAUAUUGUAUUCUGGAGGAUUAGGGGAUCCAGAUGAGUGGCUUCAGAAUGAAGGUGAUUUUUGUUCACAUUGUUCCCAAUCAUUGGCACGUAACCAACUCGAUCUUCAUUAUGAUAAAACAUAAGACUGUACACGUUGGCUUUUCCUGGCAGCAGCGUUGCGAAAAUAUCAAAUUCUCAUAGGAUCUCAUGCUUGAGACUUUUCAGGCUUGA